Molecule: ribosomal RNA, 557 nt
Filed under: uncultured fungus
Lineage: Eukaryota; Fungi
Description: SSU rRNA
Rfam family: Eukaryotic small subunit ribosomal RNA
Source: RNAcentral
GGAAGGGGUGUAUUUAUUAGAUAAAAAACCAAUGCUCUUCGGGGCUCCUUGGUGAUUCAUAAUAACUUAACGAAUCGCAUGGCCUUGUGCCGGCGAUGGUUCAUUCAAAUUUCUGCCCUAUCAACUUUCGAUGGUAGGAUAGUGGCCUACCAUGGUUUCAACGGGUAACGGGGAAUUAGGGUUCGAUUCCGGAGAGGGAGCCUGAGAAACGGCUACCACAUCCAAGGAAGGCAGCAGGCGCGCAAAUUACCCAAUCCCGACACGGGGAGGUAGUGACAAUAAAUACUGAUACAGAGCUCUUUUGAGUCUUGUAAUUGGAAUGAGUACAAUUUAAAUCCCUUAACGAGGAACAAUUGGAGGGCAAGUCUGGUGCCAGCAGCCGCGGUAAUUCCAGCUCCAAUAGCGUAUAUUAAAGUUGUUGCAGUUAAAAAGCUCGUAGUUGAACCUUGGGUUUGGUUGGUCGGUCCGCCUCACCGCGUGCACUGAUCCGACCGAAUCUUUCCUUCUGGGGAACCGUAUGCCCUUCACUGGGUGUGCUGGGGAACCAGGACUUUUAC